ACUCAGGUGGUCAGGUAGAGAAUACCAAGGCGAUCGGGUGAACUGUGGUUAAGGAACUCGGCAAAUUGCCCCCGUAACUUCGGGAGAAGGGGGACCUCUGCUGGUGAUGGGCUCUACGUUCUGAGCUGGUGGGGGUCGCAGUGGCCAGGGGGAAGCGACUGUUUACUAAAAACACAGGUCCGUGCGAAGUCGUAAGACGAUGUAUACGGACUGACGCCUGCCCGGUGCCGGAACGUUAAGGGGACCGCUUAGCCAGCUUCGGUUGGCGAAGGUGAGAACUUAAGCGCCGGUAAACGGCGGUGGUAACUAUAACCAUCCUAAGGUAGCGAAAUUCCUUGUCGGGUAAGUUCCGACCUGCACGAAUGGCGUAACGACUUCCCCGCUGUCUCAACCACAGACCCGGCGAAAUUGCACUACGAGUAAAGAUGCUCGUUUCGCGCAGCAGGACGGAAAGACCCCGGGACCUUCACUACAGCUUGACAUUGGCGUUUGGAACGUCUUGUGUAGGAUAGGUGGGAGACUAGGAAGCUGUCACGCUAGUGAUGGUGGAGUCAUUGGUGAAAUACCACUCUGGUCGUUUUGAACGUCUAACUCUGGUCCGUGAUCCGGAUCGGGGACAGUGUCUGGUGGGUAGUUUAACUGGGGCGGUUGCCUCCUAAAGAGUAACGGAGGCGCCCAAAGGUUCCCUCAGCCUGGUUGGCAAUCAGGUGUUGAGUGUAAGUGCACAAGGGAGCUUGACUGUGAGACUGACAGGUCGAGCAGGAGCGAAAGCUGGGACUAGUGAUCCGGCAUCGGCGUGUGGAAGCGGUGUCGCUCAACGGCUAAAAGGUACCCCGGGGAUAACAGGCUGAUCUUCCCCAAGAGUCCAUAUCGACGGGAUGGUUUGGCACCUCGAUGUCGGCUCGUCGCAUCCUGGGGCUGGAGUAGGUCCCAAGGGUUGGGCUGUUCGCCCAUUAAAGCGGUACGCGAGCUGGGUUUAGAACGUCGCGAGACAGUUCGGUCCCUAUCCGCUGCGCGCGCAGGAGACUUGAAGGGGGCUGUCCCUAUUACGAGAGGACCGGGACGGACGAACCUCUGGUGUGCCAGUUGUACCGCCAGGUGCACGGCUGGUUGGCUACGUUCGGAAGGGAUAACCGCUGAAAGCAUCUAAGCGGGAAGCUCGCCUUGAGAUGAGGUCUCCCACCCCGUGAGGGGGUAAGGCUCCCGGUAGAUCACCGGGUUGAUAGGCCGGAGGUGGAAGCACGGUAACGUGUGGAGCUGACCGGUACUAAUAGGCCGAGGACUUGAUCAA
Molecule: ribosomal RNA, 1291 nt
Filed under: metagenome
Description: bacterial LSU rRNA
Rfam family: Bacterial large subunit ribosomal RNA
Source: RNAcentral